RNAcentral lists this ribosomal RNA (490 nucleotides) under Marinovum algicola. RNAcentral's name for it is "bacterial SSU rRNA". It matches the Rfam family "Bacterial small subunit ribosomal RNA", at positions 394 to 902 of the family's 1533-position model. The record is from RNAcentral. Lineage: Bacteria; Pseudomonadati; Pseudomonadota; Alphaproteobacteria; Rhodobacterales; Roseobacteraceae.
AUGCCGCGUGAGUGAUGAAGGCCUUAGGGUCGUAAAGCUCUUUCGCCAGGGAUGAUAAUGACAGUACCUGGUAAAGAAACCCCGGCUAACUCCGUGCCAGCAGCCGCGGUAAUACGGAGGGGGUUAGCGUUGUUCGGAAUUACUGGGCGUAAAGCGCGCGUAGGCGGAUCAGAAAGUUGGGGGUGAAAUCCCGGGGCUCAACCCUGGAACUGCCUCCAAAACUCCUGGUCUUGAGUUCGAGAGAGGUGAGUGGAAUUCCGAGUGUAGAGGUGAAAUUCGUAGAUAUUCGGAGGAACACCAGUGGCGAAGGCGGCUCACUGGCUCGAUACUGACGCUGAGGUGCGAAAGUGUGGGGAGCAAACAGGAUUAGAUACCCUGGUAGUCCACACCGUAAACGAUGAAUGCCAGUCGUCGGGUAGCAUGCUAUUCGGUGACACACCUAACGGAUUAAGCAUUCCGCCUGGGGAGUACGGUCGCAAGAUUAAAACUC